This 733-nucleotide long non-coding RNA is filed under the name Homo sapiens (human). Its description in RNAcentral is "long intergenic non-protein coding RNA 2055". The record is from RNAcentral. Lineage: Eukaryota; Metazoa; Chordata; Mammalia; Primates; Hominidae.
GGUUCCGGCCCGCGCCUCUCCCUCCACACCUCCCCACAAGCUGAGGGAGCCGGCUGCGGCCUUCGCCAGCCCAGAAAGGGGCUCCUACAGUGCAGUGGCGGGCUGAAGGGCUGCUCAAGCGCCGCCAAAGUGGGAGCCCAGGCAGAGGAGGCGCCCAGAGCGAGCGAGGGCUGUGAGGACUGCCAGCACGCUGUCACCUCUCACUCAUAUAGAUUGCCAAUCUAUUUGUGAACCAGGUUUGCUGGAGUUUGGAUUUACUACUGAGUCAUAUUUGGAGCAUGCUGGAAUCUUACAACUGAGAUUACCGAGUCAGAAACUUGCAAACAUGAGUAACAUGGCCCUGCUCUGGAGACUACUGGGAACACAAACACAGCCAUUUAAGACAUCUACCUGCUUCUCCUUUGCCUUCCAUCAUGACUGAAAGUUGUCUGAGGUCUCCCAGCCACGUGUCCUGUACAGCCUGUGGAACUACUUUAAAGAAGAAUCAGAAAAUGGAGACUGGGAUUGGAAGCAGAGAUCCGAUGGCCAAAUUACAGUCUGCCACUGAAGCUAACACACCUAUGGUUUCAGAGUAUUCUUUAGUCUCUUCCACCAUGUGAGGGCACAGUGAAAGGAAGGACUUCUAUGGAGCAGAAUGUGGGCCCUUACCAACACUGAGUCUUCCAUUGCCUUGACCUUUAACUUCCCGGCCUUCACAACAGUGAGAAAUAAAUUUCUGUAGUUUAUAAGCCAA